This 213-nucleotide long non-coding RNA is filed under the name Setaria italica (foxtail millet). RNAcentral's name for it is "long non-coding RNA (SITA_LNC003942)". Lineage: Eukaryota; Viridiplantae; Streptophyta; Magnoliopsida; Poales; Poaceae. The record is from RNAcentral.
UUGCCUUUCACCCCUUCCACAUCCAUGUCAACAACAUCCUCAAAUAAGUCUUUAUCUCCACCAUCUAUCUCACUAUCACUAUCAAAAAAAUCCUCAUCUUCAAACUGUCCACUGCCAUCUUCUUCGGGUUCAAAACUACGACCACCUUGCUCAACUCUUCCUCUAUUCAAAUUAGUGUAAAACACUGGCAACUUCUCACCAACUAUAUUGUUC